ACCAGACUCCUACGGGAGGCAGCAGUGGGGGAUAUUGCACAAUGGGGGGAACCCUGAUGCAGCGACGCCGCGUGGGUGAAGAAGCGCCUCGGCGCGUAAAGCCCUGUCAGCAGGGAAGAAAAUGACGGUACCUGAAGAAGAAGCCCCGGCUAACUACGUGCCAGCAGCCGCGGUAAUACGUAGGGGGCAAGCGUUAUCCGGAUUUACUGGGUGUAAAGGGGGCGCAGACGGCGAUGCAAGCCAGGAGUGAAAGCCCGGGGCCCAACCCCGGGACUGCUCUUGGAACUGCGUGGCUGGAGUGCAGGAGGGGCAGGCGGAAUUCCUAGUGUAGCGGUGAAAUGCGUAGAUAUUAGGAGGAACACCGGUGGCGAAGGCGGCCUGCUGGACUGUGACUGACGUUGAGGCCCGAAGGCGUGGGGAGCAAACAGGAUUAGAUACCCGGGUAC
This 446-nucleotide ribosomal RNA is filed under the name uncultured bacterium. RNAcentral's name for it is "partial 16S ribosomal RNA". It matches the Rfam family "Bacterial small subunit ribosomal RNA", at positions 330 to 793 of the family's 1533-position model. The record is from RNAcentral.